RNAcentral lists this transfer RNA (77 nucleotides) under Leptolyngbya boryana IU 594. RNAcentral describes it as "tRNA-Leu". It matches the Rfam family "tRNA". Rfam says of the family: Transfer RNA (tRNA) molecules are approximately 80 nucleotides in length. RNAcentral also lists the same sequence under 5 other names. Lineage: Bacteria; Bacillati; Cyanobacteriota; Cyanophyceae; Leptolyngbyales; Leptolyngbyaceae. The record is from RNAcentral.
GCUCUCGUGGCGAAACGGUAAACGCCUCCGUUUGAGGGACGGAGUUGAUGCAGGUUCAAAUCCUGUCGAGAGUACCA